GACACGACCGUACCGCAAACCGACACUGGUGCGCGAGAUGAGUAUUCUAAGGCGCUUGAGAGAACUCAGGAGAAGGAACUCGGUAAAUUGACACCGUAACUUCGGAAGAAGGUGUGCCUUUAGUAGGUGAACCUGUACAAGGGGAGCCCAAUGAGGUUGCAAAAAAUCGGUGGCUGCGACUGUUUAAUAAAAACACAGCACUCUGCAAACACGAAAGUGGACGUAUAGGGUGUGACGCCUGCCCGGUGCUGGAAGAUUAAAUGAUGGGGUGCAAGCUCUUGAUUGAAGUCCCAGUAAACGGCGGCCGUAACUAUAACGGUCCUAAGGUAGCGAAAUUCCUUGUCGGGUAAGUUCCGACCUGCACGAAUGGCGUAACGAUGGCCACACUGUCUCCUCCUGAGACUCAGCGAAGUUGAAAUGUUUGUGAUGAUGCAAUCUCCCCGCGGAAAGACGGAAAGACCCCAUGAACCUUUACUGUAGCUUUGUAUUGGACUUUGAACAGAUCUGUGUAGGAUAGGUGGGAGGCUUUGAAGUGUGGUCGCUAGAUCGCAUGGAGCCAACGUUGAAAUACCACCCUGGUGUGUUUGAGGUUCUAACCUAGGCCCGUAAUCCGGGUCGGGGACAGUGCAUGGUAGGCAGUUUGACUGGGGCGGUCUCCUCCCAAAGCGUAACGGAGGAGUUCGAAGGUACGCUAGGUACGGUCGGACAUCGUGCUAAUAGUGCAAUGGCAUAAGCGUGCUUAACUGCGAGACUGACAAGUCGAGCAGAUGCGAAAGCAGGACAUAGUGAUCCGGUGGUUCUGUAUGGAAGGGCCAUCGCUCAACGGAUAAAAGGUACUCUGGGGAUAACAGGCUGAUACCGCCCAAGAGUUCAUAUCGACGGCGGUGUUUGGCACCUCGAUGUCGGCUCAUCUCAUCCUGGGGCUGUAGCCGGUCCCAAGGGUAUGGCUGUUCGCCAUUUAAAGAGGUACGUGAGCUGGGUUUAAAACGUCGUGAGACAGUUUGGUCCCUAUCUUCCGUGGGCGCUGCAGAUUUGAGGAAGCCUGCUCCUAGUACGAGAGGACCGGAGUGGACACACCUCUGGUGUAUCGGUUGUCACGCCAGUGGCAUUGCCGAGUAGCUAUGUGUGGAAGAGAUAACCGCUGAAAGCAUCUAAGCGGGAAACUCGUUUCAAGAUGAGAUCUGCCGGGGCCUUGAGCCCCCUAAAGAGUCGUUCAAGACCAGGACGUUGAUAGGUCGGGUGUGGAAGCGCAGUAAUGCGUUAAGCUAACCGAUACUAAUUGCUCGUGCGGCUUGACCCU
This 1300-nucleotide ribosomal RNA is filed under the name metagenome. RNAcentral describes it as "bacterial LSU rRNA". It matches the Rfam family "Bacterial large subunit ribosomal RNA", at positions 1635 to 2925 of the family's 2925-position model. The record is from RNAcentral.